Molecule: long non-coding RNA, 220 nt
Filed under: Capra hircus (goat)
Lineage: Eukaryota; Metazoa; Chordata; Mammalia; Artiodactyla; Bovidae
Description: lncRNA (ENSCHIG00000004758.1)
Source: RNAcentral
CUUUGUUCUUGAGAAAUCUACAGGAUUUCCCACAUCAGAACAAAGGCAGUGAAACAGGACUGGGUGUGAGCUUGGAGGACAUGCACACACCUGCUCUCUCUAGGAGAGAAAGAUGGAGUGGAGUCUGCAUCAGGAUAUUGUACAUCUAACCAGCAUAUCAUCUUUGAAAAAGGGACAAGUUGUCAGCAAAAACAUAAAGCUUUUUCAGGAAGACCUUUGA